This is a long non-coding RNA of Oncorhynchus masou masou (cherry salmon), 619 nucleotides long. RefSeq lists it as uncharacterized. The record is from RefSeq and is a predicted model, not a curated record. Lineage: Eukaryota; Metazoa; Chordata; Actinopteri; Salmoniformes; Salmonidae. The transcript has 3 exons.
AGGUUCCCAGGGACAGUCUCGUCCCUAAAGACCACGUUCCCAGGGACAGUCUCGUCCCUAAAGACCAGGUUCCCAGGGACAGUCUCGUCCCUAAAGACCAGGUUCCCAGGGACGGUCUCGUCCCUAAAGACCGCGUUCCCAGGGACGGUCCCGUCCCUAAAGACCACGUUCCCAGGGACAGUCUCGUCCCUAAAGACCGCGUUCCCAGGGACAACCCCCACAGAAGGAAGGUGGGAGGUGCUCCUAAAGAGCGGAGGAGCGUGUCUCGGGAGCGGCCCGCCACCAGUAGGAAGGUGGUGUGAGCGGUGUGAGUGUGAGUCGCUGGGGAAGGAGAGACAGGGCUCCCAACAGCAGAGCAGCACCUCCCCCUGGCCGAGCUGGGGACUGCAGCAUCACUGAACUGCUGUCUGCUCAACACACACACGGGGUAGUAUUGGGGACUCCAGUUGGUGGUAACAGACUCCACCUGUCCUCUCUGCUGGUCAACCUCACUCCUGAGACUCACACCUGGAGUCGCCUCAAAGCUGCCCUCUCCCUACACAGGAAGACCAAAGCGUUCCUGACUCCGAAGAGGCCUCUCUACCUGCUGUCCUCUCCUGAGGCGGAGCUAGGGUGGGGC